This 240-nucleotide long non-coding RNA is filed under the name Medicago truncatula (barrel medic). RNAcentral describes it as "lncRNA gene11668". Lineage: Eukaryota; Viridiplantae; Streptophyta; Magnoliopsida; Fabales; Fabaceae. The record is from RNAcentral.
UUGUUCAGCCCGCGUGGCCAUCACUGCCCCAACGCAAUCAAUACGAAAGAGGCUCUGACCGCGGGCAGUCUUCAUCGCAGAGUUCCAACGGCAAAACGGUCUCCACCUCACAAUCGGGCUGGGUACGGGGCAGAGUCCACCGGGAAGGGAAGCUCCGCCGUCAGCGUAACCGGCUAGAGUGAGAUGGAAGAUGAAAAGUGUGCCGCGGCUUCUCUGCUCAGAUAAGAUCAAGUAGUGUUU